RNAcentral lists this ribosomal RNA (268 nucleotides) under uncultured bacterium. RNAcentral's name for it is "partial 16S ribosomal RNA". It matches the Rfam family "Bacterial small subunit ribosomal RNA", at positions 90 to 353 of the family's 1533-position model. The record is from RNAcentral.
CUUAAGUGGCGAACGGGUGAGUAACGCGUGAGUAACCUGCCCUGGAGUGGGGGACGAACAGUUGGAAACGACUGCUAAUACCGCAUAAGCCCACGGAUCCGCAUGGAUCUGCGGGAAAAGGAUUUAUUCGCUUCAGGAUGGACUCGCGUCCAAUUAGCUAGUUGGUGAGGUAACGGCCCACCAAGGCGACGAUUGGUAGCCGGACUGAGAGGUUGAACGGCCACAUUGGGACUGAGACACGGCCCAGACUCCUACGGGAGGCAGCAUG